Molecule: ribosomal RNA, 440 nt
Filed under: uncultured bacterium
Lineage: Bacteria
Description: partial 16S ribosomal RNA
Rfam family: Bacterial small subunit ribosomal RNA
Source: RNAcentral
CCUACGGGUGGCAGCAGUGGGGAAUAUUGCACAAUGGGGGGAACCCUGAUGCAGCGACGCCGCGUGGGUGAGGAAGUAUUUCGGUAUGUACAGCCCUAUCAGCAGGGAAGAAAAUGACGGUACCUGACUAAGAAGCCCCGGCUAACUACGUGCCAGCAGCCGCGGUAAUACGUAGGGGGCAAGCGUUAUCCGGAUUUACUGGGUGUAAAGGGAGCGUAGACGGCGUGCGAAGUCUGGUGUGAAAGGCCGGGGCUCAACCCCGGGAUUGCAUUGGAAACUGGCAUGCUGGAGUGCCGGAGAGGCAAGCGGAAUGCGUGGUGUAGCGGUGAAAUGCGUAGAUAUUAGGCGGAACACCGAUGGCGAAGGCGGCUUGCUAGGCGGUGACUGACGUUGAGGCACGAAAGCGUGGGGAGCAAACAGGAUUAGAUACCCCAGUAGUC